Long non-coding RNA from Panicum virgatum (switchgrass), 2840 nucleotides. RefSeq lists it as uncharacterized. The transcript is spliced from 4 exons. The record is from RefSeq and is a predicted model, not a curated record. NCBI's taxonomy places the organism in Eukaryota, Viridiplantae, Streptophyta, Magnoliopsida, Poales, Poaceae.
GCCAAGUGCCACCACUCGUUCCGGCGUACGCGCGGUGAGCACCGCUCGCCCGCGCCGGGUGGCGCGGAGGCUGAAGCGGUCGAGUGCAAGCCGGUGCCAGCACCGCGCAUAACGCGUGGAGGGGCGCGCCGAGCACCAACAGGCCCAUCUUCGCCUCCCCUCUCUUUUCCUUCUUCAACCGGCGACAGCGCGUCCUUCGGCUUCGGCUUCGACUCUGGCGCUCCUCCGCCGCCCCGCCACCGGCCCGUCGACCAGUACGUGUCCCGUAGAUGCGGACUUCACCGCCGUCCCCGGAGGCGCGGAUGACGCCGCCGUCCUCGGAGAAGCGCACGCAACUGCCCGUCGACCAGUACUUGUCGCCAGAGAUGCGGACGUCACCGUCGUCCCCGGAGACGCGUCCCCAGAAGCGAGGACACCGCUGACGUCGUCGACGGCACGCCGUCACCCGCCGACGAGUCGACCAGUGUAGAAAUUGUUCGGACAAGGUGAAACUAUUGAGAGCGCAAUAACUUUUUUUCUCCUCUGUAAGAAAUUUGUGUCCUAAUCUCUUUGUCGGUAGAAUUGCAGAUUUUCAGCUCCUCUGGGACCAGUCAAUUUGUCUUGACUCUCAGAGGUGACAGAGAGGUGGACAUGGGCGCGACGCUGCAGGAAUUUGAUAUAUGUGCUAUAUAAUGUAAGGGACAAGUCAAUGUGUCUCUUGAGCUGGUAGGUUAAUUUGAGCUGAAUUUUGUUAAUUGGUUACAAAUCCUAUAACACAGUUCAAAUAAGCUUCAUAAAUUGUUAAAACAGAUGAACAUGUGUGCAGAGUUCAUGGGACUCCACAUCUCUAUCGGUCUAUCCAAGCUUGUGCUUUAGGUACAGAUGACUAACUGCAUGUGUGUUUAUCUUACAAUUCCAGCUCCAUGUGUUGCAAUUAAAUUAUACUUGGUGGCCAAUAUUUCAUCAGUACUGUUUGAGAUGUUUAAUUACAAUCUUACAAUGCCAGAGGUAAUGCCAUAUUUCAUCGUUCCUAAAUAUUUCAUCAGUUCUUUCCUAAGUGUUUAAUUUAUGUUCAUGUUUGUUGACGGUGAGUUAUACUACAGCAGCAGCUUUCCCAAUUUAAGGUAAUUUGAGAUGUUAACUUAUUUUGCUCAUAGCUAUCUGAUUGCCUCUUGAUUUACUUAUGAUUGGGAUUUGGAGAUGGUGGAAGGUGGAGUCCUGGGAAGAGUUUGUGACUUUCUCUAGGCAAAGAUAAUGAGAUGUGCUAUGCUUGCAGUGAUAUAUGAUAGGGAAAAAUGUGCUUGCAUUCAUGGUUAAUAAACGAUCUUUCAUUUGUAGGGACAUGAAUAGUUUAAACAAAUAGUAUAUCAUCUUAUCGACGCAGUUUUCAUGGUUACAAUAAUAGUUGGUGUUACAUCUAUAAUUCUCAGUAAGCAGUUUAAUGAGGAUUUAGAUGCCUUCACCUGACCUGGUAUGUUUCUAGAAAUUAAGACAAAUAUAUAAUUUUGCAGUGCUAUAAGAAAUGCUUUGCUGUGAUAGAAUUUUUUUACUUUCUGUCAGUAGUCUUGGCUAUGUUUGAGUAAAUCAAAAUAGUAUGAAAAAACAGACCCUAUUUCUUAAUAGCUGUGGAGAUGCUACCUUUGCAGGAGGUACAUCCUUGACUGCUAUCAGCACUUAUUGGCCUUCUGGCUUGCACGCAUAGUACUGCUUCCAUUGUUCAUGACUGCAUUGAACAAGGGUUCAAAGGGGACAAACUUCUAUAUAGACUAGGCCUUAGGGUCGAAUAAUGCAUCUUCCUGAUUUGCUGCAUUAUUCAUAUCAUCAGGAUGAAUGGUUAAAUUUCCCUAAUAUGUGUACAGCAGGGCUAGCACGCCUCGAUUGGCAUCAUGGAAAAGGACAGACCCAGUGCUGGUGAUUGGCAUCAUGGAGCUUUCAAAAAUUGCCCCACAAUCCAAAGUUUGUGGCUUCUAGGGUAUCUAAUAUAACUUAAGCUUCUACAGUAUCUUUUAUGCAAUAGUAACAGCAUAAGAAUUUGGUAAUGAGGUCUCACCGAUGCAUUUUGUUUUUAGUAGACAUAGGCAUGAUUCAUCAUGGUCUUCCACAUUAGGAACUUGGGUAUCUGUUGAAAAGUUUUUUGUGGAACACACACUUUGCCAUUCGUCAACUUUUAUUGACUUCUAUGGGAACAACAAUACUAUCCGAACGUUAGGUAUCACAGGUUCACUUGGUGAUGCAUGCCAUUGUGAAUGUUAUUCUGUGCUUUUAGCUACAAAGGGCACACUUUGCCAUUCUGUGCUUUUAGCUACAACCACUAAAAAAUAUUGUAGCUAGAUAAAUUAAUUCCCUCAGUUGUUUCACCAUGUCUUUCAAAUUUUUAUAUGGUAACAGCAAAUUGCAUAACUAACUGUUUUCUAAGUUCUGGUUAUAUUAAGAAUAUCUUUUUAUUGCUUUGCUGUCCUGUAUAUCCUAUUGAGAUCACAAGCUUCAAGACACUAUUGAUGAAUACAUGGACACCUUGAUUUGGCGAGGAAAAAAGAUUAGUCACGGAUGGGAACCUUGCAUCGAGAGGAAAACAUUUUUGUGAUUGAAAAAAAUUGGGGCUGGUUCAUUUUGUCGAGGAGAUUACUUGUGGUGGUUGCAAAUUCAUUUUUUCAGAAAAUUCAUUAGGCAUAGGGAGGUAGAUUGGUUUGUUCACAUGAGGCUGAAGUUUGAUAUAUAUGUAUGGAGCUUUGCUUUGCAGAGGCAGAUGGCCCUCAAUUGAGCUGUAGUGUAGAGUUGGGAACUAUAUUUGUGAAAAUUUUGUUUGUGUGAAAAGUGUCCAUAUAUAAGUGUGAGAUGAAUUUCAGAUUACCUGUUGUGGA